AACUAGGUGUUGGGUGGGUAAAACCAUUUAGUACCGUAGCUAACGCGUGAAGUUGACCGCCUGGGGAGUACGGCCGCAAGGUUAAAACUCAAAGGAAUUGACGGGGACCCGCACAAGCGGUGGAUGAUGUGGAUUAAUUCGAUGCAACGCGAAAAACCUUACCUACCCUUGACAUGUUCAGAAUCCUGGAGAGAUUUGGGAGUGCCCGAAAGGGAGCUGGAACACAGGUGCUGCAUGGCUGUCGUCAGCUCGUGUCGUGAGAUGUUGGGUUAAGUCCCGCAACGAGCGCAACCCUUGUCGUUAAUUGCCAUCAUUUAGUUGGGCACUUUAACGAGACUGCCGGUGACAAACCGGAGGAAGGUGGGGAUGACGUCAAGUCCUCAUGGCCCUUAUGGGUAGGGCUUCACACGUCAUACAAUGGUCGGUACAGAGGGUUGCCAAGCCGCGAGGUGGAGCCAAUCCCAGAAAGCCGAUCGUAGUCCGGAUUGCAGGCUGCAACUCGCCUGCAUGAAGUCGGAAUCGCUAGUAAUCGCGGAUCAGCAUGUCGCGGUGAAUACGUUCCCGGGUCUUGUACACACCGCCCNUCACACCAUGGGAGCG
This 600-nucleotide ribosomal RNA is filed under the name Azonexus sp. WE2. RNAcentral describes it as "bacterial SSU rRNA". It matches the Rfam family "Bacterial small subunit ribosomal RNA", at positions 814 to 1412 of the family's 1533-position model. Lineage: Bacteria; Pseudomonadati; Pseudomonadota; Betaproteobacteria; Rhodocyclales; Azonexaceae. The record is from RNAcentral.